This 199-nucleotide long non-coding RNA is filed under the name Lathyrus oleraceus (garden pea). Its description in RNAcentral is "Pisum sativum (pea) long non-coding RNA (PSAT_LNC004569)". Lineage: Eukaryota; Viridiplantae; Streptophyta; Magnoliopsida; Fabales; Fabaceae. The record is from RNAcentral.
ACAAAGCAAGCUCAAGGCUUAAGCCCAAGCUUCAACACCUGCAAAACAAUGUUAUGUUAGUGUACAAACAUCCACAACAUCAAUUAAAAUGGAUUUGGACCAUUAUCCAUGUGCAUUGCUUUUUAAUCCUGAAAAAUCAAGCAAACAUUAGCAACUAGACCACUAGGCCAAGCCUAGGGUCCAAAAGCAAGAAAAAAAU